GGCCUUGCUCUUAUGUCAUCUGACUAAAGGUUUCAUAGACCAAAAAUAACCAUCCAACCUGUUGGAAUACUGAAACAAUUCCUGCCUGCUUUCCACACACUACAUAAAAUAUGUGGAUAUCCUAAAUUCUACAAAAAAAGAUUUGUAAGCAAAUCAAGCAAUACUGGGACUCCCUCUUCUCCAGAAGAGACAUCCUGGCCUCCAUGCAGAGGAAUGUGUGGAUAGACAUAUAUUUAAGGAAGACACUAAACCAGAAAAUACUUCAUUACACCCUCUUAAAAGACUUCUAAGAUUGUUGUCAUGCCUACCACUGACAUUCAGAUGAUGUGUAUUCUUGAUUGUGAUUUCAUGUUUAGAGCUGAUGAAGGAGUUUGAAGUCUCCAGAGCAGCAAGGAGAGUGGGGAGUAGAACUCAUCAUCUUUAGGUCACUCAUCACCG
Molecule: long non-coding RNA, 438 nt
Filed under: Mus musculus (house mouse)
Lineage: Eukaryota; Metazoa; Chordata; Mammalia; Rodentia; Muridae
Description: predicted gene 29108
Source: RNAcentral